Molecule: long non-coding RNA, 1944 nt
Organism: Pangasianodon hypophthalmus (striped catfish)
Lineage: Eukaryota; Metazoa; Chordata; Actinopteri; Siluriformes; Pangasiidae
Exons: 4
Source: RefSeq, a predicted model, not a curated record
ACUAAAUGUAGCUGUAGAAGAACCUGUAACAUUAACACUACAUUAACACUACAAUAACACUACAUUUACACUACAUGUACGCUACACGGUGUCGUGGCAGGUUGGAGUCUCGUCCUCGGAAAGUUUAAGGGACUAAUUUCCGAAGUGCGCACUUUUACAGACAAACCUGCAGCAAGAAGAGACAGAUUUGCAGUUCCACUCCUGCACUGCUCGCCAUGGAAUACUCUCACCAUACUACUUAGUAUUCAAGUAUGCGCUACUGUAGCUACUACUCCUCACCUGCUAUUAGGAGAAGGCGCUUUAGUAGGUUGGCUAGCAACAGUUUGUUGAUGCACAAGGACAACUGCAGAAGGACAUUAAGCAUGAAGUCAGCCUGGAGUCAACUCACACAAAAGAUUAUGAUCAAGGAUUAGCCCUGCUCACGCUCUAAGAGGCAUUUGAUGAGUUCUGUCCUUCUGCACCCCUCAUCCCAGCUUCUGUCAGCUGCAAUACCUAUUAAAGAGACCAUAAAGGGGAAGGAGAUCUCAUGACCUUGUCAAGCUACUGCUCCAUGAAGCAAUGGUGCCAUAGAUUGAAUGUGGACGAAGGAACCUGUAGAAAAGAAGUACUGCAGCCAUCAUACAUCAGAAAAUAAACAGUAGUCUUAUCAAAUAUUUCUGCAACUCCUUCAAAAUUUAGUCAGUUUCCUUAGUUUUGAUUUUUUUUACCACACAAAUAGCAACCACUGUAUGAAAGAAAGUUCCUUGAAGGGUUUUUUUUUUGGAUAGAUAUGGGUUCUUCGAGUUCUUCCAGUUUCCACAAAAAAAGAAAAACUACACAAAAAAAAGGGUUCUUUAAGGGUUUUUUGAAUAGUUAUGGCAUCUUUGCUUUCUUCACUUUUAAUAAUGACUAUGAAAUGUAACAAUGUCAUGUCAUAAAAACUACAGUAGCCAUCAUGCUAGUACACUUAUCAAAUAUUUCUGCAACUCCUUCAAAGGCUAGUCACUUUCUUCAGUUAGUUUUGAUUUUAGACAUCCACUGUAAUGUUUUGGGAUAAUUCUGGGUUCUUUGCCUUCCAGUAUCACAAUACAGAACUGCUAGCUGUCAUUCUAUUAACCCAUUUUAAACCUGCCUAUGCUAUGAUAUGCUAUACUCCGUCUACGACAGCGACGAGGCCUUGACCACCUACAUCCAACACGGCAAGGCUGUGAAUCGACAGCUUUACGCUGGCCGAAAUGCAGAAAAAAAAGCUCAAGAUACCUCGAAGAUAUCUGGAAACUUUCUCUGAGAAUAUGAAGAUGCUGCCCAUAGACAUGGCUCAUCUAAAAUUUCUUCAAAGUUUUAGUCAGGUUUUUACUUUCUUGAUGAAUUCUCUGUGAUUGGGAAACAACUUCGGUGUAGUGUUGUAGACACAGAGAAAGGGAUUAUGGGUAAUUGCUCAUUUCUGUGCAAUAUAACAGACACUGAAAUCAAUAUCUGGUCCUGAUCUGAAAAAGAAAAUAUUGUUUUUCUUUUUGGUCUACCGUGUGAUACAAUUAAUACAGAACUAAAGCUCAACACACACCCACACACGCACCACAACACUACAAGCCAUUACUUCGUCACUUAUGUGUGUAAAUGUGUUUGACUGCAAUAACUGAGAGUGACUGCAAUGCAUCCCAGACCAGAACACACUUCACUAUUUAAACAUUAUUUCUCAGAAGUCUGAAGAGAACACAGCAGUGAUGAAAUUCAGAAGCAUCAUCCGGACCAUUGCACACACCAAACCACCUUACCAACACCAAACCUCCACUGGGAGAUUAGAAAUGUACCUCCACAAUCGAAGACUGCCAUCUACAAACACCUGAACUAAUAACUCUGUGACCUGUUAACCUCUGACCCCUGACCUAUUGGCAUUUACUUCUGCUCCAGCUCUAUUCUGAGUGGAAAUGUAAAGAAGUUAAUAAAGUCUCAGUGACAAAAAUC